AUCCCCCUGUAAAAGUAGAUGAUUUUAGUCUCUUGUACCUCUUUAUAUAGCCCGGGUCAAUCGUGGGAGGAACUGGGUCCCAUGGAAAAGGGACUGGGCUAGGAUGAGGAUAGACUGGGGGGCCCUGUGGUGGUACUUACUGAUACGGUAGGGGCACCGGAUUGUAUUGUGGCAGUGCCGAGCAGUACUGUGGCUGGGGCACCGGAUCAUAAUGCGGUGGUGCCGGGUGGUACUGUGGAGGAGCAGGGUCGUAUCGGGGUGGCUCGGGAUCCUCCGCUGGAAU
Molecule: long non-coding RNA, 283 nt
Filed under: Carica papaya (papaya)
Lineage: Eukaryota; Viridiplantae; Streptophyta; Magnoliopsida; Brassicales; Caricaceae
Description: long non-coding RNA (CPAP_LNC000958)
Source: RNAcentral